Molecule: ribosomal RNA, 460 nt
Filed under: uncultured bacterium
Lineage: Bacteria
Description: partial 16S ribosomal RNA
Rfam family: Bacterial small subunit ribosomal RNA
Source: RNAcentral
CCUACGGGCGGCAGCAGUGAGGAAUAUUGGUCAAUGGGCGCGAGCCUGAACCAGCCAAGUAGCGUGAAGGAUGACUGCCCUACGGGUCGUAAACCUCUUUUAUAAAGGAAUAAAGUGAGGCACGUGUGCCUUUUUGUAUGUACUUUAUGAAUAAGGAUCGGCUAAUUCCGUGCCAGCAGCCGCGGUAAUACGGAGGAUCCGAGCGUUAUCCGGAUUUAUUGGGUUUAAAGGGAGCGUAGAUGGGUUGUUAAGUCAGUUGUGAAAGUUUGCGGCUCAACCGUAAAAUUGCAAUUGAUACUGGCAGUCUUGAGUACAGUUGAGGUAGGCGGAAUUCGUGGUGUAGCGGUGAAAUGCUUAGAUAUCACGAAGAACUCCGAUUGCGAAGGCAGCUUACUAAGCUGCCACUGACAUUGAUGCUCGAAGGUGUGGGUAUCAAACAGGAUUAGAUACCCUUGUAGUC